ACACCUCAGAACCUCGUAAAGAUGAAUCUGAUUGUGAUCAGGUGUCUGCUUGUUAACGACAGUGAUGUACUCGCGGCCGCCCCUCCCCCCUCACUCGUUUGCUAAGAGGAUCUACGAGUAGACCCGAAUGCCCUCCUUCCGUCGCCGUCUUCAAAACAAGCAAACAACCGUCAACGUCGUCACAUAGAAGCUCCUGAAGUUAGUUAAAUUCACACGAUAUUUAGCACAACUUUUGCCACUAACCGAGUAGCUGUGGUGGGAAGUACAGUAAGAUGAGCACAAAGUAGUCGACGGGCUUGCCGCGCUGAUACAGGAAGUGCUGCGGUGCGCGCUUGUCGUCGUCGUCGAACUUGAGCUCCUGCACGACGUCGGGAUGCCUCAAGAUCCUCAGCAGGACCUUCUCGGUCACGUGGAAGGGUGACCAAUCCCAGCACCUGGUAGAAGGGGUCGCCCUCGCCCUCGUCGUUGACCUUCUGCACGAUGGCCAGGUGCGAUUUGCCUGCCGACCACACGGGGGCGUGAGGAGCGGACCGACCGGCCGCGGGACCGACCUUGUCGGGAAGUGACGAAGCAUGGUGUCCAGCUUGGUGUCGUGGAAGACGAAGUGCACGGGGUGGUUGUAGAACUUGGUGAUGGUCUUGAGCGUGGUGCAGUCGUCGGGGUCGACGAAGGCCAGGUCCUUGACGUACAGGAUGUCCA
Long non-coding RNA from Phyllopteryx taeniolatus (common seadragon), 699 nucleotides. RefSeq lists it as uncharacterized. The record is from RefSeq and is a predicted model, not a curated record. The transcript is spliced from 4 exons. NCBI's taxonomy places the organism in Eukaryota, Metazoa, Chordata, Actinopteri, Syngnathiformes, Syngnathidae.